Vicugna pacos (alpaca) is the source of this 92-nucleotide non-coding RNA. Lineage: Eukaryota; Metazoa; Chordata; Mammalia; Artiodactyla; Camelidae. The record is from RefSeq and is a predicted model, not a curated record.
UGGAGCGAAUUCUAAACAAUAGAUAUGUAAUUUACAUAGUUUCCAUCACCAAGACAUUCCAAUUUCCGAACACGCUACAUGCAACAUGGUUU